This 329-nucleotide unclassified non-coding RNA is filed under the name soil metagenome. RNAcentral describes it as "partial contains 5.8S ribosomal RNA, internal transcribed spacer 2, and large subunit ribosomal RNA". The stretch from base 1 to 120 matches the Rfam family "5.8S ribosomal RNA", at positions 35 to 154 of the family's 154-position model. The record is from RNAcentral.
GAUGAAGAACGUAGCGAAAUGCGAUAAGUAGUGUGAAUUGCAGAAUUCAGUGAAUCAUCGAAUCUUUGAACGCACAUUGCGCCCCUUGGUAUCCCGAGGGGCAUGCCUGUUCGAGCGUCAUUUCACCACUCAAGCCUGGCUUGGUGUUGGGCGACGUCCCCUUUGGGGACGCGCCUCGAAACGCUCGGCGGCGUGGCACCGGCUUUAAGCGUAGCAGAAUCUUUCGCUUUGGAAGUCGGGGCCCCGUCUGCCGGAAGACCUACUCGCAAGGUUGACCUCGGAUGAGGCAGGGAUACCCGCUGAACUUAAGCAUAUCAAUAAGCGGAGGA